RNAcentral lists this ribosomal RNA (495 nucleotides) under uncultured bacterium. Its description in RNAcentral is "partial 16S ribosomal RNA". It matches the Rfam family "Bacterial small subunit ribosomal RNA", at positions 28 to 505 of the family's 1533-position model. The record is from RNAcentral.
GAUGAACGCUGGCGGCGUGCCUAAUACAUGCAAGUCGAGCGAACAGACGAGGAGCUUGCUCCUCUGACGUUAGCGGCGGACGGGUGAGUAACACGUGGAUAACCUACCUAUAAGACUGGGAUAACUUCGGGAAACCGGAGCUAAUACCGGAUAAUAUAUUGAACCGCAUGGUUCAAUAGUGAAAGACGGUUUUGCUGUCACUUAUAGAUGGAUCCGCGCCGCAUUAGCUAGUUGGUAAGGUAACGGCUUACCAAGGCAACGAUGCGUAGCCGACCUGAGAGGGUGAUCGGCCACACUGGAACUGAGACACGGUCCAGACUCCUACGGGAGGCAGCAGUAGGGAAUCUUCCGACAGGGGCGAAAGCCUGACGGAGCAACGCCGCGUGAGUGAUGAAGGUCUUCGGAUCGUAAAACUCUGUUAUUAGGGAAGAACAAAUGUGUAAGUAACUAUGCACGUCUUGACGGUACCUAAUCAGAAAGCCACGGCUAACUACG